GGAGCACUGUCACCAAAGCAACUCGACUCAACACUGUUGCCUUGGUGAUUUCCAUGGUGAUUGCUGAAGUCACAAAGCCUGCAUUUGGAGGAGGCAGUUAGGAUCCCCGGUCCCCUUUCUCUGUGGGCUGAGGUGUAUUAUUAGCUGCCUGGCACACUGCCUGUCCUUCUUCCUCCUGUUGUGUCCAACCCAGCCACAUAACACACUGUAUCUACCGGAGAGGAUUUUAGCUUUACAGAGCUGUAACUGAGGAUCACUGGCUGAUAAGGACAGUGUGGUGGACUGUCGGCUCUCAGACCUUCGUGAGGAGGACACUGUAAAAGGACAAGCAGGGACAGGAGAGACUGAAGGACGUGCUGAGGAACAAUCACACCGUCAGAGGACACAAUUUCACAUCCCAGGGUGUUGGCCUACACUGAGAAGACAGGUGAGGAGAAGGGUCGUGUGAGAGGUCUGGUUGUCAAACAGACUAAGAUCCUGGGGAAGGCAUCCUACAAGCAGAUGGGUCAGUAUGUCCAAACACAAUAUUAAAAGUAUACUCCAUAUGGAUGUUGAAUAGAAUACCCUUAUGAAACCAGAUUGACCACUGUGCUAACACUGGUUCCACUUCACUUCACCGUAAACGGGUCAGAGUCAGGCAGGUACAGAACGGCAGGCAGGCUCAGGUUCAGGGCAGGCAAAAUGGUCAGAAUCGGGGAAACUAGGAAACAAUUCUUGAGCAAGCAGGGAGAUGGGAAAACACGCUGGUAAGACCUGACAAGACAAGAACUGGCAACAGACAAACAGAGAACACAGGUAUAAAUACACUGGGGAUAAUGAGUAAGAUCGGCGACACCUGGAGGGGGGUUGAGACAAGCACAAAGGGUGUGACUCAGCCUACCAACACCUGACCCAAACCGCCUCCACACUCGUCUUCUUUCUCCCAUCUUCACCUCCUUCUGGUCCCCCAGCUUACUCCCCCACCACUGGCCCUGCCUCCUACUCCUCUCGGCCAAUCAGCCACCGGCUGCACACCCACAUCCAGGUCCACCGCAGCUACUCCGAGUUAGCCGACUCUGCCCACCAGAGGCUCCCACCUCAGGUCCUCCAGGACCCUAUCCUGCAUGUUCCUCACCCUUGUAUGUUUUCAUUUCCUUUUACCAUACAUUCAGCAUGCCAGCCUGCCUGCAUUUUUGAUUGAUGACUCCCAUGUCCUUGGAGAUGUAACGAACUUGUAAAGACUGUAAAAUAAUGAUGGGCUUUGAAAAUUGUUCCUGUUAUGACUCUGCACGUGAUAAGCUAUAGACCUAGUGUAAUUGAUGUACAGAUACAAUUUGAGUUAUAAAAGCCAAUUAUUGUUAUUAUAUGCCUUAUUCUUAUCAUGUUAUGUAAUUCCGGAUACAUUUUGAUGACAUUAUCCCUCAGAUUAAUAUUGUAUAUAAUGUUAUGGCUCUACGAUGGUGAUAACUUGCACUUUUUUACAGGUUUGAAUGACACAAUGUAUUCCACUAACCUCAUUCUUUCAAUAAAGUUAUUGUUUUAUUAAUAUUAUAUUAUUUGUUUUUCACAAAAAUGCUGGUUUAAAACCAUCCUAAUUUGGGCAAAUAUUGGAUAGAACACACGUUGGGUUAUUUUUACUCAGCCAGUUGGGUCC
Long non-coding RNA from Oncorhynchus tshawytscha (Chinook salmon), 1633 nucleotides. Lineage: Eukaryota; Metazoa; Chordata; Actinopteri; Salmoniformes; Salmonidae. The record is from Ensembl.